GGAAGGAUGGCUGAGCGGUCAAAAGCAACAGAUUGUAAAUCUGUCGAUCUUCGAUCUACGUAGGUUCAAAUCCUGCUCCUUCCA
This 84-nucleotide transfer RNA is filed under the name Hemiarma marina. RNAcentral describes it as "tRNA-Tyr". It matches the Rfam family "tRNA". Rfam says of the family: Transfer RNA (tRNA) molecules are approximately 80 nucleotides in length. Lineage: Eukaryota; Cryptophyceae; Goniomonadida; Goniomonadaceae. The record is from RNAcentral.